CGUGUACAGCUCGUGGAUAACCAGGCAGCGGUGGGGCGGGGCAAAGUCGAGGGGGCGGGGCGUGGAGCGCCGGGGCGUGAGGGGGCACGUGGCGGGUCCUGCUGCAGCCCCUGUCCGCGGAACUGUCCCGCUUCUGGCCGCACGGCAACCGACGGGCGGUGGGGAGGCCGGGGCCACCCGGUGAGCCUCAAUUCCUGCCUGCGGGCUGAGGUGGGAGCACUGAGCUGUGGGCUCAGCUUCUCUCCGUGGGUAAUGGGACUCACAGAGAGUGGAAACAGGGCAAGGUGGUGCAGUGCAAUGUGUUCCCUGUUUGACAUAAAAGCUUGGGAAAACCCACAGCUCUUCAGUGAUAAAUGCACGUAUGCCAGGAAGGGGAGCGGGCCAGCCAGGCAGCGGUGUGGCCCUGUGCCCCAACCCCAAACUACAGCCACAGCCCUGCACCUCACAAAGCCACGCGCCCUCCUGGGCCGGCCGGUUUACUGAGUGUAACGUUUCUGUAUGAGGUUUCCUGUUUUGUGGUUGCCCAAUGCCUCUUCUUGAAGGAACGAGUUGCCCGCGUCUACGCUGGUGACAAAGAAGUGGAGCUUCUGACUCAGCUCUGUGCUUGGGGCUUCCACCAUCUUCUGCUUCCUGCGUUGUUACAUCCUGGUGAGCCCAGGAAAGAACCAGCUCGGCGCUUCCCCGCUGACUCAGGCUGAAGAUGGAUUGGCACAAUAUUUCCUUGCUCAUCAGGUUCUGGCAUGAGCUGGCAGAGGUAAUCCAAAUGCAGUUCAGCAAGGAAACGUACCACAGAGGGGUGGGAUACAGCUGAGUAAAGCUGCUGGUGAGUAACAGGGAAAUCCUGGUGAGGCUGCAUGUGGGCACAUAUUCUACCAGAUGGCACAGAGGGUCUUAUCAUUGCUGGUGCAGCAGCACUGGUACUGCGAAAGUGUCACCUCUAAUGAGAGUCAUUAAAAAUAGACCUGGUUGCAGUGGCAAGACUAGCAAUGGCAAGAGGCACCCGUCAUCCCAGCGUAGAUGAGUUUCUGAGGCUCUCACACAAGGAGAAAUAGAAGUGUAUGGCACAAUUCUGUUUGAGUAAUAGAAGGAAAAAAGAAAGGUCUCUGUUCAAAGCCAUAGGAAGUUUAGGAGACCAGGAGAACCACAACAACAUUCAUGCAGAGCUCCAUCAGGGGAAAAUGGCGUUCUCUGCUUGGUCAUAGUUUUGUUCCUCUGCAUAACAGGCUGCUUCAGAUCAGAACAAAACAGGCUUUUUUUUCCUAGGAUUUGCCAGAUUGAAUUUGGAAGAGGGUAGCAGGGUCUGAUGCAGGCUGCAAAGAUUAGUUCUGGUUCCAGCAUUUCUUCAGCCCAGGCACAGCAGCAAAGUGCAAAUGCAGGAUUGAUGUCAUCUGUCUGUUUGGGGAUGGCUCGCAACCAG
Molecule: long non-coding RNA, 1417 nt
Filed under: Chrysolophus pictus (golden pheasant)
Lineage: Eukaryota; Metazoa; Chordata; Aves; Galliformes; Phasianidae
Description: lncRNA (ENSCPIG00010002186.1)
Source: RNAcentral